AACAAGCAGUGAUUUUUGCUGUUAGGCGGUUCCUGGGAUUGCUUGUUUUGGAUUGACUCUAUUCUCUUGCAUUUUUCCUCCCUUCAUACAAGGGAGAGAGAUGCUGUGUAUAGGGAAUUUGUACAGAUGACAUUAGAUCUUUGUUUGAGCCACCUUAUUGUAGUAAAACGUAUUUUUGAAUAGUGUAACGAUGGGAAAUAUUGAAGAAUGUGUGAUUAAAAUGAUAUCAAAUCACUGUUUAAAAAUAAAUUUUUUUCAAGAAUUGUGGAUCAAACAGAUUUGUGUGGAUGACAUUAAAAGAAUCCUUAUGGAAAUUUCUUUUUGGAUGUUGGGCUAAAAAGAGGAAAAAAUGAAAAAAAAUCAGCCACGCGAGUGUUGCACGACAUGUGGCACUUGUAAAACUGGCUGUAUAGGGGG
This 417-nucleotide long non-coding RNA is filed under the name Olea europaea (common olive). RNAcentral's name for it is "long non-coding RNA (OEUR_LNC011461)". Lineage: Eukaryota; Viridiplantae; Streptophyta; Magnoliopsida; Lamiales; Oleaceae. The record is from RNAcentral.